AUACGUAGGGAGCGAGCGUUAUCCGGAUUCAUUGGGCGUAAAGCGCGCGUAGGCGGCUCGGGAAGCGGAACCUCUAACCUUGGGGCUCAACCUCAAGCCGGGUUCCGAACUCCCGGGCUCGAGUCAGGUAGGGGCAGGCGGAAUUCCCGGUGUAGCGGUGAAAUGCGCAGAUAUCGGGAGGAACACCGAUGGCGAAGGCGGCCUGGUGGGCCUAGAGACGGACGAUGAGGUGCGAAAGCGUGGGAAGCGAACGGAAUUAGAUCCCCUGGUAGUCCCCGCCGUAAACGAUGGGCGCUAGGUGUGGGGAGCGUAUCCCCCGUGCCGCAGCUAACGCAUUAAGCGCCCCGCCUGGGGAGUGCGGCCGCAAGGCUAAAACUCAAAGGAAUUGACGGGG
Molecule: ribosomal RNA, 394 nt
Filed under: uncultured bacterium
Lineage: Bacteria
Description: partial 16S ribosomal RNA
Rfam family: Bacterial small subunit ribosomal RNA
Source: RNAcentral